This 433-nucleotide ribosomal RNA is filed under the name uncultured bacterium. RNAcentral's name for it is "partial 16S ribosomal RNA". It matches the Rfam family "Bacterial small subunit ribosomal RNA", at positions 29 to 507 of the family's 1533-position model. The record is from RNAcentral.
AACGAACGCUGGCGGCAUGCCUAACACAUGCAAGUCGAACGAGACCUUCGGGUCUAGUGGCGCACGGGUGCGUAACGCGUGGGAAUCUGCCCUUGGGUUCGGAAUAACAGUUGGAAACGACUGCUAAUACCGGAUGAUGACGUAAGCCCAAAGAUUUAUCGCCCAAGGAUGAGCCAGCGUAGGAUUAGCUAGUUGGUGAGGUAAAGGCUCACCAAGGCGACGAUCCUUAGCUGGUCUGAGAGGAUGAUCAGCCACACUGGGACUGAGACACGGCCCAGACUCCUACGGGAUGCAGCAGUGGGGGAUAGUGGACAGUGGGCGAAAGCCUGAUCCAGCAAUGCCGCGUGAGUGAUGAAGUCCGUAGGGUUGUAAAGCUCUUUUACCCGGGAUGAUAAUGACAGUACCGGGAGAAUAAGCUCCGGCUAACUCCGUG